Molecule: ribosomal RNA, 420 nt
Filed under: bacterium
Lineage: Bacteria
Description: partial 16S ribosomal RNA
Rfam family: Bacterial small subunit ribosomal RNA
Source: RNAcentral
UGGGGGAUAUUGCACAAUGGGCGAAAGCCUGAUGCAGCGACGCCGCGUGGGGGAUGAAGGCUUUCGGGUUGUAAACCUCUUUCGCUAUCGAACAAGGCCCGCUUAGGGUGGGUUGAGGGUAGGUGGAGAAGAAGCGCCGGCUAACUACGUGCCAGCAGUCGCGGUAAUACGUAGGGCGCGAGCGUUGUCCGGAUCUAUUGGGCGUAAAGGGCUUGUAGGCGGCGUGUUGCGCCUGCUGUGAAAACGCGGGGCUUAACUUCGCGCGUGCAGUGGGUACGGGCAGGCUUGAGUGUGGUAGGGGUGACUGGAAUUCCAGGUGUAGCGGUGGAAUGCGCAGAUAUCUGGAGGAACACAGAUGGCGAAGGCAGGUCACUGGGCCAUUACUGACGCUGAGGAGCGAAAGCAUAGGUAGCGAACAGG